AACGAACGCUGGCGGCAUGCCUAACACAUGCCAGUCGAACGAGACCUUCGGGUCUAGUGGCGCACGGGUGCGUAACGCGUGGGAACCUGCCCUUAGGUUCGGAAUAACUCCCCGAAAGGGGUGCUAAUACCGGAUAAUGUCUUCGGACCAAAGAUUUAUCGCCUUUGGAUGGGCCCGCGUUGGAUUAGCUAGUUGGUAGGGUAAAAGCCUACCAAGGCGACGAUCCAUAGCUGGUCUGAGAGGAUGAUCAGCCACACUGGGACUGAGACACGGCCCAGACUCCUACGGGAGGCAGCAGUGGGGAAUAUUGGACAAUGGGCGAAAGCCUGAUCCAGCAAUGCCGCGUGAGUGAUGAAGGCCUUAGGGUUGUAAAGCUCUUUUACCCGGGAUGAUAAUGACAGUACCGUGAGAAUAAGCUCCGGCUAACUCCGUG
This 433-nucleotide ribosomal RNA is filed under the name uncultured bacterium. RNAcentral describes it as "partial 16S ribosomal RNA". It matches the Rfam family "Bacterial small subunit ribosomal RNA", at positions 29 to 507 of the family's 1533-position model. The record is from RNAcentral.